RNAcentral lists this ribosomal RNA (460 nucleotides) under uncultured bacterium. RNAcentral describes it as "partial 16S ribosomal RNA". It matches the Rfam family "Bacterial small subunit ribosomal RNA", at positions 338 to 795 of the family's 1533-position model. The record is from RNAcentral.
CCUACGGGUGGCAGCAGUGAGGAAUAUUGGUCAAUGGGCUUACGCCUGAACCAGCCAAGUCGCGUGAGGGAAGACUGCCCUAUGGGUUGUAAACCUCUUUUGUCAGGGAGCAACGCCGGCUACGUGUAGCCGGACGGAGAGUACCUGAAGAAAAAGCAUCGGCUAACUCCGUGCCAGCAGCCGCGGUAAUACGGAUGAUGCGAGCGUUAUCCGGAUUUAUUGGGUUUAAAGGGUGCGUAGGCGGAAGGCUAAGUCAGCGGUAAAAUGGCGGGGCUCAACCUCGCUCCGCCGUUGAAACUGGCGUACUUGAGUGGGCGAGAAGUAUGCGGAAUGCGUGGUGUAGCGGUGAAAUGCAUAGAUAUCACGCAGAACUCCGAUUGCGAAGGCAGCAUACCGGCGCUCAACUGACGCUGAAGCACGAAAGCGUGGGGAUCGAACAGGAUUAGAUACCCGGGUAGUA